RNAcentral lists this ribosomal RNA (245 nucleotides) under uncultured bacterium. RNAcentral describes it as "partial 16S ribosomal RNA". It matches the Rfam family "Bacterial small subunit ribosomal RNA", at positions 524 to 768 of the family's 1533-position model. The record is from RNAcentral.
UACAGAGGGUGCAAGCGUUGUUCGGAAUUAUUGGGCGUAAAGGGCGCGUAGGCGGUGCGGUAAGUUUCUCGUGAAAUCUCCGGGCUCAACUCGGAGCUUGCGGGAAAGACUGCCGUGCUUGAGUAUGGGAGAGGUGAGUGGAAUUCCUGGUGUAGCGGUGAAAUGCGUAGAUAUCAGGAGGAACACCUGUGGCGAAAGCGGCUCACUGGACCAUCACUGACGCUGAGGCGCGAAAGCUAGGGGAG